GGAAUAUUGCACAAUGGGCGAAAGCCUGAUGCAGCAACGCCGCGUGAGGGAUGACGGCCUUCGGGUUGUAAACCUCUUUUAGUAGGGAAGAAGCGAAAGUGACGGUACCUGCAGAAAAAGCACCGGCUAACUACGUGCCAGCAGCCGCGGUAAUACGUAGGGUGCAAGCGUUGUCCGGAAUUAUUGGGCGUAAAGAGCUCGUAGGCGGUUUGUCGCGUCUGCUGUGAAAUCCCGAGGCUCAACCUCGGGCUUGCAGUGGGUACGGGCAGACUAGAGUGCGGUAGGGGAGAUUGGAAUUCCUGGUGUAGCGGUGGAAUGCGCAGAUAUCAGGAGGAACACCGAUGGCGAAGGCAGAUCUCUGGGCCGUAACUGACGCUGAGGAGCGAAAGCAUGGGGAGCGAACAGGAUUAGAUACCCGGG
RNAcentral lists this ribosomal RNA (420 nucleotides) under uncultured Curtobacterium sp. RNAcentral's name for it is "bacterial SSU rRNA". It matches the Rfam family "Bacterial small subunit ribosomal RNA", at positions 358 to 790 of the family's 1533-position model. Lineage: Bacteria; Bacillati; Actinomycetota; Actinomycetes; Micrococcales; Microbacteriaceae. The record is from RNAcentral.